Non-coding RNA from Polypterus senegalus (gray bichir), 579 nucleotides. The record is from the annotation of a RefSeq genome assembly. NCBI's taxonomy places the organism in Eukaryota, Metazoa, Chordata, Cladistia, Polypteriformes, Polypteridae.
UUCAUUACUGAGGCACACUAAGAUGAUCCAAAGCAGCAAUGACUUCACCACUGCUCACCGUCUUUCUCUUUCUCACAUUAUACAGUCAAGACUCCAGUUGUGAGACUACGGUAAUUCAGACUCCGAAGUCCAAAUCACUCUCUGUGGGAGACAAUGUUGACUUUACAUGUACAACCAGCACUGAUGUGAGUAGUUAUGUAGCCUGGUACCACCAGAGACCUGGAGAAGCUCCUAAGCUCCUGAUCUACCUGGCAGAUAUACUUGCAAGUGACAUCCCUAGUCGCUUCAGUGGCAGCGGAUCAGAGACUGAAUACACACUGACUAUCACUGGAGUCCAGGCUGAGGAUGCAGGACAUUACUACUGUCAACAGUACGAUGAGUUUCCUCUCACACGGUGACAGAGAGCCGUACAAAAACCUCUCUUAACAUCUGAACAGCCUGCAGGUGCUUUACAAAGGCACCAGAGUGGCACUUUAUUAAUACCCUGCUUCUGUACGAUGUUACUGUUAGUCAUAAGGACAUUGAUUCAACUUGUACAGUUCAACUUUUUUAUUUUUAUGGUGGGAUUGUUCUUUUAUA